UCGUUGUUGGGGAUUGCAAUGGUGAAAUUUGUUAUUAAUUUAAUUGCUUUGUAAAAUAAUACUAGUUGAAAGAUAAACGAGUUAGAUAGAGUGUUAAUUUUUUUUAUUUUCAUUAUUUUUUCUAUUUUUAUUUAUUUAAAUAUUUUUAGAUACAUUGUCGACUAUUUAAUUUAAUCAUGAAUGCAGUUGAUUAUGAAUUUAAUGAUAAU
RNAcentral lists this long non-coding RNA (209 nucleotides) under Gossypium raimondii (Peruvian cotton). Its description in RNAcentral is "long non-coding RNA (GRAI_LNC000724)". Lineage: Eukaryota; Viridiplantae; Streptophyta; Magnoliopsida; Malvales; Malvaceae. The record is from RNAcentral.